CGGAGGGAGCUAGCGUUGUUCGGAAUUACUGGGCGUAAAGCGCACGUAGGCGGCUUUGUAAGUUAGAGGUGAAAGCCUGGAGCUCAACUCCAGAAUUGCCUUUAAGACUGCAUCGCUCGAAUCCGGGAGAGGUGAGUGGAAUUCCGAGUGUAGAGGUGAAAUUCGUAGAUAUUCGGAAGAACACCAGUGGCGAAGGCGGCUCACUGGACCGGUAUUGACGCUGAGGUGCGAAAGCGUGGGGGAGCAAACAGGAUU
RNAcentral lists this ribosomal RNA (255 nucleotides) under uncultured bacterium. Its description in RNAcentral is "partial 16S ribosomal RNA". It matches the Rfam family "Bacterial small subunit ribosomal RNA", at positions 526 to 779 of the family's 1533-position model. The record is from RNAcentral.